RNAcentral lists this ribosomal RNA (719 nucleotides) under uncultured Serratia sp. RNAcentral describes it as "bacterial SSU rRNA". It matches the Rfam family "Bacterial small subunit ribosomal RNA", at positions 791 to 1509 of the family's 1533-position model. Lineage: Bacteria; Pseudomonadati; Pseudomonadota; Gammaproteobacteria; Enterobacterales; Yersiniaceae. The record is from RNAcentral.
UAGUCCACGCUGUAAACGAUGUCGAUUUGGAGGUUGUGCCCUUGAGGAGUGGCUUCCGGAGCUAACGCGUUAAGUCGACCGCCUGGGGAGUACGGCCGCAAGGUUAAAACUCAAAUGAAUUGACGGGGGCCCGCACAAGCGGUGGAGCAUGUGGUUUAAUUCGAUGCAACGCGAAGAACCUUACCUACUCUUGACAUCCAGAGAACUUUCCAGAGAUGGAUUGGUGCCUUCGGGAACUCUGAGACAGGUGCUGCAUGGCUGUCGUCAGCUCGUGUUGUGAAAUGUUGGGUUGAGUCCCGCAACGAGCGCAACCCUUAUCCUUUGUUGCCAGCGGUUCGGCCGGGAACUCAAAGGAGACUGCCAGUGAUAAACUGGAGGAAGGUGGGGAUGACGUCAAGUCAUCAUGGCCCUUACGAGUAGGGCUACACACGUGCUACAAUGGCAUAUACAAAGAGAAGCGACCUCGCGAGAGCAAGCGGACCUCAUAAAGUAUGUCGUAGUCCGGAUUGGAGUCUGCAACUCGACUCCAUGAAGUCGGAAUCGCUAGUAAUCGUAGAUCAGAAUGCUACGGUGAAUACGUUCCCGGGCCUUGUACACACCGCCCGUCACACCAUGGGAGUGGGUUGCAAAAGAAGUAGGUAGCUUAACCUUCGGGAGGGCGCUUACCACUUUGUGAUUCAUGACUGGGGGUGAAGUCGUAACAAGGUACCAAGGGCGAA